GACGAACGCUGGCGGCGUGCUUAACACAUGCAAGUCGAACGGAAGGGCCCUGCUUUUGUGGGGUGCUCGAGUGGCGAACGGGUGAGUAACACGUGAGUAACCUGCCCUUGACUUUGGGAUAACUUCAGGAAACUGGGGCUAAUACCGGAUAGGAGCUCCUGCUGCAUGGUGGGGGUUGGAAAGUUUCGGCGGUUGGGGAUGGACUCGCGGCUUAUCAGCUUGUUGGUGGGGUAGUGGCUUACCAAGGCUUUGACGGGUAGCCGGCCUGAGAGGGUGACCGGCCACAUUGGGACUGAGAUACGGCACAGACUCCUACGGUAGGCAGCAGUGGGGAAUAGUGCACAAUGGGCGGAAGCCUGAUGCAGCAACGCCGCGUGCGGGAUGACGGCCUUCGGGUUGUAAACCGCUUUCGCCUGUGACGAAGCGUGAGUGACGGUAAUGGGUAAAGAAGCACCGGCUAACUACGUG
Molecule: ribosomal RNA, 468 nt
Filed under: uncultured bacterium
Lineage: Bacteria
Description: partial 16S ribosomal RNA
Rfam family: Bacterial small subunit ribosomal RNA
Source: RNAcentral